This 1487-nucleotide long non-coding RNA is filed under the name Sus scrofa (pig). RNAcentral describes it as "lncRNA (ENSSSCG00040050495.1)". The record is from RNAcentral. Lineage: Eukaryota; Metazoa; Chordata; Mammalia; Artiodactyla; Suidae.
GGGGGCUGUAGCACUGGCCACAGUGCUCUUCAGUACACCCUAGCUGAAUGCUCCAUAAAGUCGCACUGAUGGCAGUUUGGAGAUGGCCAUCUGUCGUCAACUCUGGGCCAGACAAAAAAAUAAUGUAACGGCAGAUCGCUAACAACAGGGCUGUUGUAGGAGGGAAUGAGUCCUCGAACGGGGAGGUGGUGCUCCAUCUUUUAAUAGCGAAAACCAGCCAUCGAUAUGAACAUCAAGAAAUUAAUGGAUGGAGAAUUUUAAAAAACUGAGCUGGGGUGCCGUAGAAUCCACUCAAAGAAAUAGGACCAUAAAACUGGAGCAACAAUUAAGCUGUGGUGUGAAAAACAGGCGUUGGAAUCAGGUUGCUUUGGUGGGAAAGUGAUUUGAGAAGAUCAAACAGCUGUAGAGACAAUUACGUAUUUAAACUUUAAUGAUAUCUCGAAGUCGUGGUGUAUCCCUCGGAAUGUCCAAUCACUGCUGUGUUUUGUAUGCGGAAAAUACUGCAUCCAUGAAUUAAUGAAAGGAAGGGCAAGGACCACAAUAAUCUUUGACUCAAAAGGAAGUGAAAUACCAGAAUCUCAAAGCCUCCCUCUCAUCUAGGCCAAUUCCCUCCCUUCCCACCGCUGGAAUUCCCUCUACGUCCAUUAAAUUCACAACACGAUGCCUCAGAGAACUUUCUAUGGGGACACAUUGGAAGAGGAUGAUUUGAUCACUGCCAUUGAAUUGUAGUUUUUCUAGAGGCACUAAUUAAACAGUAAUUACUGUAUUGAAAGAAAGUGGCCUAUUCAACGGAAUUUUUACGCCACUCGCUCACACCUGUAUAAACCACUUUGGAUACAAAUAUGCAUUGUAGGAUAUUAUUCUUGGACCAUACUAUCCUUUUUUGCAAAGCAGCUUCCUUAAGUUCCACAGGAAGAAAAAAAAAAAAAAGUUUUGAGGUCUACUAGGAAAACAUGUGAAACAUUCAACAUAUUCAUUUGCUUUUAAAAUAACAAAAUGUUCAUUUAGUUCCAAUAAGGCACUCCUAUGCCAAAGCACCUCUUCCCUACCAGCAUGCUAGGUGGCCUCUGACGUAUAUUAGAAUUCCUGGCAAGAACCCUACCAGGAUUUUUACAUUAUACAUUGCUGGUCUGGCAUCAAGAACUUCUGGUCAGAAAGGUUUAGGGGUCAUAUGAAAACCUUAGCUUCCACAGUGUUAAGUCCUAGACUGAGUGUUCCACAGAACCAAGUUUCAUCUUGCUUAAUUCUAAAAGGAAUUGUGGUGGGACUUCCCAUGUAAGAAUCCAAAUGCCGCUGCUUAAGAUGCUGGGGAGACAAGGGUUGGAUCCCCGGCUGGCACAGUGGGUUGAAGUAGCUGGCACUGCUGCAGCUGUGGUGGUGUAGGUCACAGCUGUGGCUUGCAUUCAAUCCCUGACCCAGGAACUCAUGGUGUGGGUGCUGAAGGUGUGGCUGAAAAAUUUUUUAAAAUAAAAUCAAUCAAUCAAUCA